GUGGAUGUAGCUCAGCUGGCAGAGCGUCUGACUGUGGCUCAGAAUGCCGUGGGUUCGAUCCCCAUCAUCCACC
Molecule: transfer RNA, 73 nt
Filed under: Spirochaetota bacterium
Lineage: Bacteria; Pseudomonadati; Spirochaetota
Also listed under: 1 other name
Description: Spirochaetes bacterium (wastewater metagenome) tRNA-His
Rfam family: tRNA
About the family: Transfer RNA (tRNA) molecules are approximately 80 nucleotides in length.
Source: RNAcentral